Molecule: ribosomal RNA, 18 nt
Filed under: Pratylenchus zeae
Lineage: Eukaryota; Metazoa; Nematoda; Chromadorea; Rhabditida; Pratylenchidae
Also listed under: 3 other names
Description: partial 18S ribosomal RNA
Source: RNAcentral
UGCUGCUGGAUCAUUACA